This 453-nucleotide long non-coding RNA is filed under the name Anas zonorhyncha (Eastern spot-billed duck). RNAcentral describes it as "lncRNA (ENSAZOG00000006483.1)". Lineage: Eukaryota; Metazoa; Chordata; Aves; Anseriformes; Anatidae. The record is from RNAcentral.
CGCCACCCUACCGACACACAGCCUCCUGCCUCACAUAUCAGGUCACAGGACUACGUUCACAAGUGUCGUAACUCUAGCUGAAAACAAGAAGGUGAGUGGAUAUCCAAGUGUACCCCGAACACCAUUACUGUGUUUCCCUGCUGGCAUCAUUUCAUUUUCUUUUGAGUAUCUACAGUCAUGUUCCCCAGUUUCAGGUGGAGGGAGGAGGGACGAGCACAGGUUUCUCAGCUUGUCCUGGUCUUGUUACACAGCGGAGCAGCUGUCUCUUUUCAAGAGGUUUUCUCUGCUUCCACAUUUGCACUCGGCUUGUGCUGGACUGGAGUAUGUUAAGUGAAUUCUAUCUGGGGCCAUAGAUUUUGUUGAUGUGGCAGUUAUGAACUCUGAGGCAGCACCAUAUGGAGCAGAGUGGGGCAUAUAGAGAAAAGAGGGAUGGAUGGCAUUUUUCCCUUGAGC